UCCCUGGUGGCUCAGACGGUAAAGCGUCUGCCUGCAAUGCGGGAGACCCGGGUUCAAUCCCUGUUUUGGGAA
RNAcentral lists this transfer RNA (72 nucleotides) under Bos taurus (domestic cattle). It matches the Rfam family "tRNA". From Rfam's summary of the family: Transfer RNA (tRNA) molecules are approximately 80 nucleotides in length. RNAcentral also lists the same sequence under 4 other names. Lineage: Eukaryota; Metazoa; Chordata; Mammalia; Artiodactyla; Bovidae. The record is from Rfam by way of RNAcentral.